UACGGAGGAUGCGAGCGUUAUCCGGAUUUAUUGGGUUUAAAGGGUGCGUAGGCGGACGGUCAAGUCAGCGGUAAAAAUGCGGUGCUCAACGCCGUACAGCCGUUGAAACUGUUAUUCUAGAGUAUGGGAGAGGUAGGUGGAAUUCUUGGUGUAGGGGUAAAAUCCGUAGAGAUCAAGAGGAAUACUCAUUGCGAAGGCGACCUGCUAGAACAUAACUGACGCUGAUGCGCGAAAGCGUGGGGAGCAAACAGG
Molecule: ribosomal RNA, 252 nt
Filed under: uncultured bacterium
Lineage: Bacteria
Description: partial 16S ribosomal RNA
Rfam family: Bacterial small subunit ribosomal RNA
Source: RNAcentral